AGAGUUUGAUCCUGGCUCAGGACGAACGCUGGCGGCGUGCUUAACACAUGCAAGUCGAACGAUGAACCACUUCGGUGGGGAUUAGUGGCGAACGGGUGAGUAACACGUGGGCAAUCUGCCCUGCACUCUGGGACAAGCCCUGGAAACGGGGUCUAAUACCGGAUACUGACCCGCUUGGGCAUCCAAGCGGUUCGAAAGCUCCGGCGGUGCAGGAUGAGCCCGCGGCCUAUCAGCUUGUUGGUGAGGUAAUGGCUCACCAAGGCGACGACGGGUAGCCGGCCUGAGAGGGCGACCGGCCACACUGGGACUGAGACACGGCCCAGACUCCUACGGGAGGCAGCAGUGGGGAAUAUUGCACAAUGGGCGAAAGCCUGAUGCAGCGACGCCGCGUGAGGGAUGACGGCCUUCGGGUUGUAAACCUCUUUCAGCAGGGAAGAAGCGAAAGUGACGGUACCUGCAGAAGAAGCGCCGGCUAACUACGUGCCAGCAGCCGCGGUAAUACGUAGGGCGCGAGCGUUGUCCGGAAUUAUUGGGCGUAAAGAGCUCGUAGGCGGCUUGUCACGUCGGUUGUGAAAGCCCGGGGCUUAACCCCGGGUCUGCAGUCGAUACGGGCAGGCUAGAGUUCGGUAGGGGAGAUCGGAAUUCCUGGUGUAGCGGUGAAAUGCGCAGAUAUCAGGAGGAACACCGGUGGCGAAGGCGGAUCUCUGGGCCGAUACUGACGCUGAGGAGCGAAAGCGUGGGGAGCGAACAGGAUUAGAUACCCUGGUAGUCCACGCCGU
Molecule: ribosomal RNA, 779 nt
Filed under: uncultured bacterium
Lineage: Bacteria
Description: bacterial SSU rRNA
Rfam family: Bacterial small subunit ribosomal RNA
Source: RNAcentral